UGGGGAAUAUUGGACAAUGGGCGCAAGCCUGAUCCAGCCAUGCCGCGUGAGUGAUGAAGGCCCUAGGGUUGUAAAGCUCUUUUGUGCGGGAAGAUAAUGACGGUACCGCAAGAAUAAGCCCCGGCUAACUUCGUGCCAGCAGCCGCGGUAAUACGAAGGGGGCUAGCGUUGCUCGGAAUCACUGGGCGUAAAGGGUGCGUAGGUGGGCAGGUAAGUCAGUGGUGAAAUCUCCGGGCUUAACCCGGAAACUGCCGUUGAUACUAUUUGUCUUGAAUAUUGUGGAGGUAAGCGGAAUAUGUCAUGUAGCGGUGAAAUGCUUAGAUAUGACAUAGAACACCAAUUGCGAAGGCAGCUUACUACACAAUCAUUGACGCUGAGGCACGAAAGCGUGGGGAUCAAACA
This 402-nucleotide ribosomal RNA is filed under the name uncultured bacterium. Its description in RNAcentral is "bacterial SSU rRNA". It matches the Rfam family "Bacterial small subunit ribosomal RNA", at positions 355 to 774 of the family's 1533-position model. The record is from RNAcentral.